Molecule: ribosomal RNA, 504 nt
Filed under: uncultured bacterium
Lineage: Bacteria
Description: partial 16S ribosomal RNA
Rfam family: Bacterial small subunit ribosomal RNA
Source: RNAcentral
ACUCAAAUGAAUUGACGGGGGCCCGCACAAGCGGUGGAGUAUGUGGUUUAAUUCGAUGCAACGCGAAGAACCUUACCUGGUCUUGACAUCCCAGAAAUCCCUUGGAAACUUGGGAGUGCUUCCAUUAGGAAGAAUCUGGAGACAGGUGCUGCAUGGCUGUCGUCAGCUCGUGUCGUGAGAUGUUGGGUUAAGUCCCGCAACGAGCGCAACCCUUGCCUUUAGUUGCCAGCAGUUCGGCUGGGCACUCUAAAGGGACUGCCGGUGUUAAACCGGAGGAAGGUGGGGAUGACGUCAAGUCCUCAUGGCCUUUAUGACCAGGGCUACACACGUACUACAAUGGCCGAUACAAAGGGCAGCGACAUUGCGAAAUGAAGCCAAUCCCAUAAAUUCGGUCUCAGUCCGGAUUGGAGUCUGCAACUCGACUCCAUGAAGUUGGAAUCGCUAGUAAUCGUGGAUCAGCAUGCCACGGUGAAUACGUUCCCGGGCCUUGUACACACCGCCCGU